Long non-coding RNA from Dama dama (fallow deer), 1728 nucleotides. RefSeq lists it as uncharacterized. The transcript has 5 exons. The record is from RefSeq and is a predicted model, not a curated record. NCBI's taxonomy places the organism in Eukaryota, Metazoa, Chordata, Mammalia, Artiodactyla, Cervidae.
GAAACACCCCGGCGCCUGCCCCCUUGGGGCUGACAGUCCAGAGGGACGACAGACGUUCACAAAUGUUGUGCGAACCCAUGGGUACGGGCGGUGAUGCGUGCCCUGGGGAGGGUCUCAUAAGACGUUUGCCUCUUUUAAUCCUGUCCAUGAGCAGCUAUAUGAUGAUGAUGUGAUAUCUGGAGCUGCAACAGCCAUCUUGCAGCCAUAAGGCAACAAGCUUGACUACAACAGCAGAGAUACUGAACACACUGAGGUGAAAGAAUACAAGAUCUAAGGUCUUAUGAUGAUGGUGAUAUAUAAUACUCCUUUACCUACUAAAUAUGCAGCCCUGCAGCCCUAGGCCCUGGGAAUAGUACAGUUUCACUCGACAGAUGCAUUCAGUGGUGUGUGGAGCAACCAGCUCAAGCCAGUUCCUAACAGCUGACUGUGAACAUCCCUCCCCCACUGCAGGUUCAGUGAUCUCACUUUUGAGGCUUGACGUGAGCCACACUGUAUUUACUCCCCAGAAACUGAUGGCGGAGUAGACGGAUGUGAGCUCCUCUCCUGUGAGAACCCCACAAACUGCAACUCGCUGCCCAACAACCAUCGACAGGAGAAUGUCGGAUCCCACCAAAAACAGAUACUUUGCCAACAAAGGUCCGUCUCAUCAAGGCUAUGGUUUUCCCAGUGGUCAUGUAUGGAUGUGAGAGUUGGACUAUAAAGAAAGCUGAGCACAGAAGAAUUGGUGCUUUUGAACUGUGGUGUUGGAGAAGACUCUUGAGAGUCCCUUGGACUGCAAGGAGAUCCAACCAGCUCAUCCUAAAGGAAAUCGGUCCUGAGUGUUCAUUGGGAGGACUGAUGCUGAAGCUGAAACACCAAUAUUUUGGUCACCUGAUGUGAAGAACUGACUCAUUGGAAAACACCCUGAUGCUGGGAAAGAUUGGGAGAAUCCCAGGGACAGAGGAGCCUGACGGGCUAUGGUCUAUAGGGCUCAAAAGAGUUGGACACAACUGAAGUGACGAACACACUGCCUUCUUUUGGUGCUCAUCUGUUGGUGAAGAAUUCAGUUUUUCGUUGCCUGAAAUUAAUGUCUUUAUCUCACCUCCAAUUUUGAAGUUUUCUCCUGCUGUAGAGUUCUAGGUUGGCAUUUAUUUUUUAGCACUUAAAUAUGGCAUCAGUUUUGUUUCAAAUGACUGCAGGUCUUCUCAUUGCUCCUUUGAAAAGAAUGUGUCCUUUUUCUCUCAGUGCUUUUAAGACUUUGCCUUUGGAGUUCAGCAAUUUUCCUCUGAUGUGUCUCCAUGUGUGUGUUGACUUUUACUGAAGUCUAAUAGAUUAAAAUUGGACAUGUAGAAUGCACAGCUUGACGAAUCCUCACAGAAUCAGCACUCCUAGGUUUUCCAGUAACUUCUCUCCAAAGGUAAUGACUUUGCUGACUUCAACAGCAUGGGUUAAAUGUGCGUGUUAUGGUUCUUUAUCUCAGCGUGAAUAUUCUCUGCAGUCUGUGUGUGUGUGUGUGUGUGUGUGUGUGUGUGUGGCUUCCUCUGCUCAACCGAAUAUUUUAAGAUUUGUCCAACACCCUGGGUGCUGUGGAGUGUUUUAUUGUGUGAAUCACCACCACGCGUACAUCCCCCCUAGUGUAAAGAGGCAUUUGCUUAGCUUCCAGUUUACGUUAGGAUGGAAAGUGUUGCUUUGAAUGUGUUAAUUCAUGUCCAGUGGUGAGCGUAUACGUGCGUUUCUGUUGGAAUAAAC